GCGAGCGUUAAUCGAAUUUACUGGGCGUAAAGCGUGCGUAGGCGGCUUUUUAGGUCGGAUGUGAAAUCCCUGAGCUUAACUUAGGAAUUGCAUUCGAUACUGGGAAGCUAGAGUAUGGGAGAGGAUGGUAGAAUUCCAGGUGUAGCGGUGAAAUGCGUAGAGAUCUGGAGGAAUACCGAUGGCGAAGGCAGCCAUCUGGCCUAAUACUGACGCUGAGGUACGAAAGCAUGGGGAGCAAACAGGAUUAGAUACCCUGGUAGUCCAUGCCGUACACGAUGUCUACUAGCCGUUGGGUGCCUUAGAGGCUUUAGUGGCGCCGCUAACGCGAUAAGUAGACCGCCUGGGGAGUACUGUCGCAAGACUAAAACUCAUAUGAAUUGACGGGGGCUCGCACGAGCAGCUGGA
This 405-nucleotide ribosomal RNA is filed under the name Acinetobacter johnsonii. RNAcentral describes it as "bacterial SSU rRNA". It matches the Rfam family "Bacterial small subunit ribosomal RNA", at positions 534 to 937 of the family's 1533-position model. Lineage: Bacteria; Pseudomonadati; Pseudomonadota; Gammaproteobacteria; Moraxellales; Moraxellaceae. The record is from RNAcentral.